Molecule: regulatory RNA element, 99 nt
Organism: Methyloglobulus morosus KoM1
Lineage: Bacteria; Pseudomonadati; Pseudomonadota; Gammaproteobacteria; Methylococcales; Methylococcaceae
Rfam family: traJ-II RNA
Source: Rfam
GGGCAAGAUAGGUGAAGUUAGCUAACCUGUGGACAGGUCAUCUAUCUUCACUGACCUUAUUCGCGCUCCGCUCUCAACGGUAUCUUGUCCUGCCGGGCA